AGCUAAACUGAUUCAAGCUGAACCCGCCUUCCUCUGAUUAGCUGGCCUUCACCCUACUCUGCGUCUGACUGGCUUACCCUGAUACUCUUACCCUAACCCUGACCAAUCUCACUCCUCAUGUCUAAACCUAAUCAACCCAACCAAUGGAGGCGGCCAAUCAGAGGCAGAGUAGCGUGGGUCUUUUUGCUUGUCCACGCAAAAGAGAAAGUGGCUCCCUCCCGGGGAGGAGCCGUAUGUGUUUUCCUCUCGGCUGUGGGAUGGAUACUCCAGAGACACAAUCUGUUUUGUAAGUAGCUAUGCAAAAAAUGUUUUUAAUUCCUGCAAGACUGUGAGUUGAUUCUUUGUGCAUCAGGAUAUUGCCAUAAUUAUUAUUAAAUAAUGCUCCUGGGAAUAUUUCAAGUUUAUUGUAGGCUGAGCAUGACAAAGCAGUAACUGUUGCACAUAGUUCUGCUCCUUGUUUUGCUUUGUGUCAUUUUGUUAAAUAAUGUUGACUAAAAUGUUCUGUUUUUUUUGUUGUUUUUCAAAUCUCUUCUUCAGAGUGACGGCGCUGGAAAAGAGGCGGUGGAGAAGGUUCUAUGUGCACUUGGCGGGAGACACUAAUGGGACCCACAAAGAGUUUGUUUCGCAUAUAAGACAGCUUGGUCAUACAAAGGUGUCCUCUCCUGAGGAAAGCGACUAUGUUGUGGUUUUCUGUCCUAUCGCGUCACAAGCGGAAACAGACUUCAGCGAGGCCCUGGAAGACAUUCCAUGUAGGUCAUGACUUUGACCACUGUUUGACCAAUGUCGCACUGCUAAGUCACAGUUGGCAAACCAACAAUUCUGAUGGUGAUGCAUCACACCGUCGACCGUAACCAGGUUGUAGCUGAAAGCAGACGACUGGUGAACAACCCCAACGUGCACCUCACUGUGGACGUUCUGUUACACAAGGGUAAAAUCACGAAGUGUGAUCAAAACCGAAAAGCGUGGUUUGACUUUGUGAUGUUUCUUGCAGCAUCUUUCAGAAGUAACAACAAAAAGGUGAGGACUAGUUUUACUGAUAUGAUGCAGCCAAGUUUACACAUAAUCAAUUUCUCUUCUGAGUUGGCAGUUUAGUUACAAAGUACUGUCACUCAUAUUGUUGUCUUAUUGUCUUUCUGCUCACUACCUGGAAUGACAUCAUCAAUUGUAAGUAUGUCUGUAAUCAUGAACUUAAGAUUUUUACAAGUCACGACAGUGUCAGCAGCUAAUGUUUUCCCCUUGUUAGUCUCUGUGUGUUAUCAGGGCAAAAUGUGUCCUGGAGUCUCUUGUUUUUUAAGUUUAUCUUGAAACUUCAUUCACAUGGGCAUAUUCACACAACUGAUCACGCGAGAAAAAUAAAAAUGACAGGCCAAAACCCUGAAUUUUUCUCAAGUUUUCCUGCAUGAAGAAAUAUCGACAUUGCUAUAAUUAUUCGAAAAUGUGAACUAAAUCAUUUUUGAUUGCUUGAGUGGUAUAUAAAACUAUGUUACUAAUUCCCCUCUUUAUUUAUUUUAGGGUUGAUGGACCAUCAGAUCAUGAUUUUUUUAAUGGUAACUAUGACUGCUCUUAUUUUGGUGGGGGUUAUUGUGGCUACGACAGUAACACAACCGUAGAAACUGGAGCUCUAAGCAGAUCUGUGAGGCAUGUGCAGCAGCAUGUGUGACAAAACCCAAAGGUAGCAGUUUACAGUAUUGUCACAAUUCUUAAAGUGAAUGAAUGUUCAAAGUAAUGCAUGUUUAAUCAUCUGCAAAAAUGUAAUAAUGGAAGGAUUGUCAUUGUUAUAAUUGUAGGAUACUUGUGUUAGAUGAUACAGAUGUUUUUUUUACAGAGCUUAUGAUUCCCUGAACAUAUUACAGGGGUCCCUGAUGGAGCCGUUUCAAGGUGCACUAUGCAGUUUUGUGGAAUGCAUUUUAAUCAGAAGACAAAGAUCUUCAUAUAAUGAAUGAACUUUGAGUGUUUUUUGGGAUUUUUUUUAAAAAAGAAUGUAUUUAUUAAUUUAUCUUUUUUAGUUUUGGCUUGAUGUCACCGUUCCUCCUGAGAUAUUGACCUCAAAGUAAUCAAAGAGUUUUUGUGUAAGAGAUGGGAGACAAAUAAAUAAAUGAAUAAAUGAUAAUAUGAGGGUUAUGACCAAAGUUACUUUGCAGCCCCAGUAAUUGUGCUUUGAGGUGCAGGUUUUGGAGUAUGUUAAUGUUUAAGUGUGUGUAGUAGAGCUUUGUAAGGUCCAGUCACAUCAAGUUUCAAAUAAAGACAAAUCUUCUGUUUAAAACUGUGACUGCUGCUUUGUGCUCAUGCAGAUAUCAAGUUUUUCCAUCAUAAAGAAUGAAUAAAAAUGAAUCAAACUGACUAUAUCAUAUUUGUUAAGCUUGUCUUUGUACAUUUGUCAUAUCUGUGAUAUAAAAUGUAAUGGAUUAUUAUCAAAAAAUAGGUAAAUGUCCAAUAAAAAGUAA
Acanthopagrus latus (yellowfin seabream) is the source of this 2444-nucleotide RNA transcript. RefSeq lists it as uncharacterized. The transcript has 3 exons. NCBI's taxonomy places the organism in Eukaryota, Metazoa, Chordata, Actinopteri, Spariformes, Sparidae. The record is from RefSeq and is a predicted model, not a curated record.